Molecule: long non-coding RNA, 1949 nt
Organism: Morone saxatilis (striped sea-bass)
Lineage: Eukaryota; Metazoa; Chordata; Actinopteri; Moronidae
Exons: 3
Source: RefSeq, a predicted model, not a curated record
UUCCAGCAAAUAUGACAAAUAGUUACUUUUAUAAAAAUGACCUUAUACAGCUUUAACAUCAGGCAAUCUAGAUUAUUUAUCUAGAGCAAGACCCACUGCCUUGUUGAACAGCUAAAAGAUAAAGCCCAUUUUGCUAUCUUUACAGUGGUUAAGUGGUUUGUGUCCUUUGACACUCAGCUUUGGUUAACUAUAAAUAGUUUAAAGGCACACAGUGACUUACACGCAGGGCGUGUCAACCAAUGAACCAAGUCUACUUUUUGAUGUUUAGAUAAGUUACACAAUUGACAUUAAUGAGCAGGUUAGUACAUUUGAGAUCAACAGCAAAAUUAAACCGAUUAAACCUUUAAAACCUUCACCUCUUACAGUUAUUAUUAAUUAGGACACUGCAGCUUAAUUAAGCUAAAAUUACACAUUUUAAGUUACACUUUUAACAUAAAAACAAUAAACCGUUUGGCUCCACAUUCUUUUGGGAUUUUGUCAACAGUUUUGUCUAACUAAUAAAUAAACUAAUAAACUAAUUUGAUCACUGAUUAUGAAUGUAUUGCAUUUAGCAUCAUUUAGUAAGACUUUUACCUAAAAAGUCUAUUAACAUUGUUCUUCAGGUGGCCCAGAAGGUGAAGCACUUCUUCCGAAUGUACUCAGUGAACCGCCACAAGAUGACCACGAUAACGCCAUCGUACCAUGCCGUCAGCUACAGUCCUGAUGACAACCGCUUUGACCUCCGCCCUUUCCUCUAUAACACACGCUGGACCUGGCAGUUCAGGUGCAUCGACAACCAGGUGUCCCAGAUGGAAGCAAACAACCCAAAGCAACUGUGACAGAUCAAAUACCAUCUUUUGGUUUUUGCACAGCUUUCAGUCAAGCCAAAUACUUUGUACUGUGCAAGCACUGGGUCCAGGGGAAAUAUUUUUUUUUUUUGCGAUUGUAUAGAACCAUUGUUCUACCUCAGGCCUCACAUAUGUGACAGUUAACUACAUCUACAUGCCAUCAAUCCCAACUUUUAUUCAGAAGCAUCGGAUCAUUUCGAGUCUUUCCCCAUGUGAAAUGCAGUAAUAAAGUAAUUUAUCAUUAAAACAUGUAAUCACUGUAAGACAUAGUGGUUGUUCCACCUGAAACUUGCAUGUGAUCAGUACCAACUAGAAUAAAAAUGUUCUGUAAUCCCUUUUAUAUACCCUAUUCAUUGUGGAUGUAUAGGAAUUUCAUAUUCGUUAAAUGGCACUAAAAACAGCGUGCCUUCUAAAGACCAACAGAAUACAAUAUUUUUAGUUACUUGCAGUAUUAGGGUGUAACAUUUUUGGUGAUCUAUUCAUAUUCUCAUUCAUAGCUAUGUUUUAAUUAGUGUAUAAUCACCUGAAUAUAAGAAUCAGCCAUUUUAGGGGCAUUUACCUUUUUUGCACAUUUUGCAGCCACUGUAGUCUGUCCUUUGUGCUUGGAAGAGGAGGGUGAAAAGAGAGAGUUGCUAUCUGCAACUAUAUACUGCUAGAUGCCAGUAAAUCCUACACACUGGAUCUUUUAAAUGGGUGGCAUCUUUAAUUCUAACUUCAAUGUUUAAAAUUGCUUUAUCUGUAUGCCUUUUUUUCAAUACAAUACAAUCUUUAAUCUGCUUAAACACAAUUAAUGUUUUUUUAAUUAUGUAGGAUAUACUGUAACCACUGUUGUCUGUUUUACUACAGAUGCUUAAGCAUUAUCUGAAGAGAUGGUUUAUCAAGGAUUUAUCCUCUGGCUACCAUCAAACUGAGCAGACAAGAAAAUACAUGUCGGUUCCUCUAUCAGAUUCUGGGCCCUUAAAGUGAAUCUGCUUACAUGCCUUGGAAGUUUGUUGUUUUUUCAAAAGGAAUGAACAAGCCUGGCUCUUCAAGGGCAUUCAAGGAUGGUGACAGAGACGAGCUGAAGCGCGUACAGGGGGAACUCAAGGUCCACCUGAGAGAGGCGAAGGAGGACUACAGAAG